GAAGAGAUGACUAUUAUUCUACUGAGAGGUGAAGAGAUGACUAUUAUUCUACUGAGAGGUGAAGAGAUGACUAUUACUCUACUGAGAGGUGAAGAGAUGACUAUUAUUCUACUGAGAGGUGAAGAGAUGACUAUUAUUCUACUGAGAGGUGAAGAGAUGACUAUUAUUCUACUGAGAGGUGAAGAGAUGACUAUUAUUCUACUGAGAGGUGAAGAGAUGACUAUUAUUCUACUGAGAGGUGAAGAGAUGACUAUUAUUCUACUGAGAGGUGAAGAGAUGACUAUUAUUCUACUGAGAGGUGAAGAGAUGACUAUUAUUCUACUGAGAGGUGAAGAGAUGACUAUUAUUCUACUGAGAGGUGAAGAGAUGACUAUUAUUCUACUGAGAGGUGAAGAGAUGACUAUUAUUCUACUGAGAGGUG
Long non-coding RNA from Oncorhynchus keta (chum salmon), 421 nucleotides. RefSeq lists it as uncharacterized. Lineage: Eukaryota; Metazoa; Chordata; Actinopteri; Salmoniformes; Salmonidae. The transcript is spliced from 3 exons. The record is from RefSeq and is a predicted model, not a curated record.